AUACGGAAGGUCCAGGCGUUAUCCGGAUUUAUUGGGUUUAAAGGGAGCGUAGGCCGUCUGUUAAGCGUGUUGUGAAAUGUAGAUGCUCAACAUCUGAAUUGCAGCGCGAACUGGCAGACUUGAGUGUGCGCAACGUAGGCGGAAUUCGUGGUGUAGCGGUGAAAUGCUUAGAUAUCACGAAGAACUCCGAUUGCGAAGGCAGCUUACGGGAGCACAACUGACGCUGAGGAGCGAAAGCGUGGGGAGC
Molecule: ribosomal RNA, 247 nt
Filed under: uncultured bacterium
Lineage: Bacteria
Description: partial 16S ribosomal RNA
Rfam family: Bacterial small subunit ribosomal RNA
Source: RNAcentral